UUGCUUUGGAAUGUUGCCUGAAAAACAGUUUUUCUUGUUUUAGCCUAAACAUUAACGCUUUCUCAAGGAGGAAUGAAUGAUCCAAAGGUAGCAAAGUAUUCAUACUUUUGAAAUAGGCCUACAUGACCUUUCCAUCUAUGAAGAGUAUUUGAUUUUAGCAUAGAUCUUUGUGCCUGAAUAAAAAGUCUAUUUGACCUCUUUUGGGCUCAAACCCCUGGCAGAUAAGAUCCACAUGUAUUAUGUAACUCAUGAAUUUGGCUUUCAUUUGACCAUGGAACUUUCCUUCAAAAAAUAAAUGAAGUGGUUUAAAGGUUACUAUGAUGAACAAAAAGCAUUCACAAGAGGUCAACACCUAGACUUUGAUAACUAAAAAACAUUCAUUUUCUAGCUUAAGUUCACAAAUCAUAAAUAUAAUACUCACUGCCUACCAAGAUGUUCGAAUGUCUUGUUGCUGUAUGCAUGCAGUAAAGAACAAAUUAACAAGUAUACAUAUAUUUAUAUAAAAGGUACCAAGUAAUGGGUAAUGAGUUGUAUAUAACUAGUUGUUUAUAUGUUUGCAGUAUUUACAUAAUUUCAAGUUGUACUAUUAUUUCCACCAGGUUUUGAACCAGGGUCUCCCACCAGAGUGGCAUAUGUGAUGACCACUACACUAUAGAAAUAUAUCUUGCACAUCUGAAAAUUUAUUUCCAUUUUUAAAAUGUUUUUACCUUUGCAUUUAUAUUUACAUUCUCCCUCUGCUUUUCUUAUCACAUCGGAAAUUAAUGUAGUAGUGUCAUUAUUUGUCAUUAUUACUUUUAAUAUAUUUGUGGUAUUUAGCUAUACGCGUUCGUAUGUAACGGAAAUCAGCCUUCCGUGUAAUUUUGUACGUCACGCAUUGCGGCAAAACUUUCAGCGCGCGCGCGGAAAUAGCACGCGUAAAUGCGAGUAAGGUACUGAGCGGAUGUGAUGUAAUGUGUUGUAAACCUGUUUGUCCAGUACGUAUUGUCUAUGUAUAGAAUACCUAGUGUGGAAUGUAGAGUAAUUUAACUGGUGCACUGGUCACUUUGAACAUAGCGGCCAGAGCGAGCACAGCGAACAUUUGUACACCUAUAUCUUUACCUAGCCAGCAUAGGAAUUAAAAGAGGUAGCGGGCACUAGAGCCAAAAGCAAAUAAUCUUACAUUGAACGAGUAAGACUGAGGACUCGGCGGACUUUGUCCGAGAAAACCCUCUUCACAUUGAAGAGGGUUUUUACUUACGUAAUAAAUUAACUGAGAAAAGAACCCAGGAGUUGUCGUAUAUCCACGAUAAAAGACGACUAUUACA
Molecule: long non-coding RNA, 1304 nt
Organism: Mizuhopecten yessoensis (Yesso scallop)
Lineage: Eukaryota; Metazoa; Mollusca; Bivalvia; Pectinida; Pectinidae
Exons: 3
Source: RefSeq, a predicted model, not a curated record